RNAcentral lists this ribosomal RNA (253 nucleotides) under uncultured bacterium. RNAcentral's name for it is "partial 16S ribosomal RNA". It matches the Rfam family "Bacterial small subunit ribosomal RNA", at positions 524 to 776 of the family's 1533-position model. The record is from RNAcentral.
UACGUAGGGUGCGAGCGUUGUCCGGAAUUAUUGGGCGUAAAGAGCUUGUAGGCGGUCUGUCGCGUCUGCUGUGAAAAUCCGGGGCUCAACCCCGGACUUGCAGUGGGUACGGGCAGACUAGAGUGUAGUAGGGGAGACUGGAAUUCCUGGUGUAGCGGUGAAAUGCGUAGAUAUCUGGAGGAACACCGGUGGCGAAGGCGGCAUCCUGGACCGACACUGACGCUGAGGAGCGAAAGCCAGGGGAGCAAACGGG